Molecule: ribosomal RNA, 331 nt
Filed under: uncultured eukaryote
Lineage: Eukaryota
Description: partial 18S ribosomal RNA
Rfam family: Eukaryotic small subunit ribosomal RNA
Source: RNAcentral
CCCUUAGAUGUUCUGGGCCGCACGCGCGCUACACUGUUCGACGCAGCGAGUCUUAACCUUGACCGAAAGGUUUGGGUAAUCUUCAGCAAAGUCGAACGUGAUGGGGAUCGAUCAUUGCAAUUAUUGAUCGUGAACGAGGAAUUCCUAGUAAGUGCAAGUCAUCAGCUUGCGCUGAUUACGUCCCUGCCCUUUGUACACACCGCCCGUCGCUACUACCGAUUGAAUGGUUUAGUGAGAUCUCUGGAUUGACGCUGGCUAGGCGGCGACCCUUGGCCAGACUGUUGAGAAACUGCUCAAACUUGAUCAUUUAGAGGAAGUAAAAGUCGUAACA